GGUUAAGCGACUAAGCGUACACGGUGGAUGCCCUGGCAGUCAGAGGCGAUGAAGGACGUGCUAAUCUGCGAAAAGCGUCGGUAAGGUGAUAUGAACCGUUACAGCCGGCGAUGUCCGAAUGGGGAAACCCAGUGUGAUUCGUCACACUAUCGUUAACUGAAUACAUAGGUUAACGAGGCGAACCGGGGGAACUGAAACAUCUAAGUACCCCGAGGAAAAGAAAUCAACCGAGAUUCCCCCAGUAGCGGCGAGCGAACGGGGAGCAGCCCAGAGUCUGAAUCAGCUUGUGUGUUAGUGGAACGGUCUGGAAAGUCCGACGGUACAGGGUGAUAGUCCCGUACACCAAAAUGCACAGGUUGUGAACUCGAAGAGUAGGGCGGGACACGUGGUAUCCUGUCUGAAUAUGGGGGGACCAUCCUCCAAGGCUAAAUACUCCUGACUGACCGAUAGUGAACCAGUACCGUGAGGGAAAGGCGAAAAGAACCCCGGCGAGGGGAGUGAAAAAGAACCUGAAACCGUGUACGUACAAGCAGUGGGAGCACCUUCGGGUGUGACUGCGUACCUUUUGUAUAAUGGGUCAGCGACUUAUAUUCUGUAGCAAGGUUAACCGUAUAGGGGAGCCGCAGGGAAACCGAGUCUUAACUGGGCGUUAAGUUGCAGGGUAUAGACCCGAAACCCGGUGAUCUAGCCAUGGGCAGGUUGAAGGUUGGGUAACACUAACUGGAGGACCGAACCGACUAAUGUUGAAAAAUUAGCGGAUGACUUGUGGCUGGGGGUGAAAGGCCAAUCAAACCGGGAGAUAGCUGGUUCUCCCCGAAAGCUAUUUAGGUAGCGCCUCGUGAACUCAUCUUCGGGGGUAGAGCACUGUUUCGGCUAGGGGGUCAUCCCGACUUACCAACCCGAUGCAAACUACGAAUACCGAAGAAUGUUAUCACGGGAGACACACGGCGGGUGCUAACGUCCGUCGUGAAGAGGGAAACAACCCAGACCGCCAGCUAAGGUCCCAAAGUCAUGGUUAAGUGGGAAACGAUGUGGGAAGGCACAGACAGCCAGGAUGUUGGCUUAGAAGCAGCCAUCAUUUAAAGAAAGCGUAAUAGCUCACUGGUCGAGUCGGCCUGCGCGGAAGAUGUAACGGGGCUAAACCAUGCACCGAAGCUGCGGCAGCGACACUAUGUGUUGUUGGGUAGGGGAGCGUUCUGUAAGCCUGCGAAGGUGUGCUGUGAGGCAUGCUGGAGGUAUCAGAAGUGCGAAUGCUGACAUAAGUAACGAUAAAGCGGGUGAAAAGCCCGCUCGCCGGAAGACCAAGGGUUCCUGUCCAACGUUAAUCGGGGCAGGGUGAGUCGACCCCUAAGGCGAGGCCGAAAGGCGUAGUCGAUGGGAAACAGGUUAAUAUUCCUGUACUUGGUGUUACUGCGAAGGGGGGACGGAGAAGGCUAUGUUAGCCGGGCGACGGUUGUCCCGGUUUAAGCAUGUAGGCUGGUUAUCCAGGCAAAUCCGGAUAAUCAAGGCUGAGGUGUGAUGACGAGGCACUACGGUGCUGAAGUAACAAAUGCCCUGCUUCCAGGAAAAGCCUCUAAGCAUCAGGUAACAUCAAAUCGUACCCCAAACCGACACAGGUGGUCAGGUAGAGAAUACCAAGGCGCUUGAGAGAACUCGGGUGAAGGAACUAGGCAAAAUGGUGCCGUAACUUCGGGAGAAGGCACGCUGGUGUGUAGGUGAAGUCCCUGCGGAUGGAGCUGAGACCAGUCGAAGAUACCAGCUGGCUGCAACUGUUUAUUAAAAACACAGCACUGUGCAAACACGAAAGUGGACGUAUACGGUGUGACGCCUGCCCGGUGCCGGAAGGUUAAUUGAUGGGGUUAUCCGUAAGGAGAAGCUCUUGAUCGAAGCCCCGGUAAACGGCGGCCGUAACUAUAACGGUCCUAAGGUAGCGAAAUUCCUUGUCGGGUAAGUUCCGACCUGCACGAAUGGCGUAAUGAUGGCCAGGCUGUCUCCACCCGAGACUCAGUGAAAUUGAACUCGCUGUGAAGAUGCAGUGUACCCGCGGCAAGACGGAAAGACCCCGUGAACCUUUACUAUAGCUUGACACUGAACAUUGAGCCUUGAUGUGUAGGAUAGGUGGGAGGCUUUGAAGCGUGGACGCCAGUCUGCGUGGAGCCAACCUUGAAAUACCACCCUUUAAUGUUUGAUGUUCUAACGUUGGCCCCUGACCGGGGUUGCGGACAGUGUCUGGUGGGUAGUUUGACUGGGGCGGUCUCCUCCCAAAGCGUAACGGAGGAGCACGAAGGUUAGCUAAUCCUGGUCGGACAUCAGGAGGUUAGUGCAAUGGCAUAAGCUAGCUUGACUGCGAGCGUGACGGCGCGAGCAGGUGCGAAAGCAGGUCAUAGUGAUCCGGUGGUUCUGAAUGGAAGGGCCAUCGCUCAACGGAUAAAAGGUACUCCGGGGAUAACAGGCUGAUACCGCCCAAGAGUUCAUAUCGACGGCGGUGUUUGGCACCUCGAUGUCGGCUCAUCACAUCCUGGGGCUGAAGUAGGUCCCAAGGGUAUGGCUGUUCGCCAUUUAAAGUGGUACGCGAGCUGGGUUUAGAACGUCGUGAGACAGUUCGGUCCCUAUCUGCCGUGGGCGCUGGAGAAUUGAGGGGGGCUGCUCCUAGUACGAGAGGACCGGAGUGGACGCAUCACUGGUGUUCGGGUUGUCAUGCCAAUGGCACUGCCCGGUAGCUAAAUGCGGAAGAGAUAAGUGCUGAAAGCAUCUAAGCACGAAACUUGCCCCGAGAUGAGUUCUCCCUGAGACUUUAAGUCUCCUGAAGGAACGUUGAAGACGACGACGUUGAUAGGCCGGGUGUGUAAGCGCAGCGAUGCGUUGAGCUAACCGGUACUAAUGAACCGUGAGGCUUAACCUU
Molecule: ribosomal RNA, 2902 nt
Filed under: Klebsiella pneumoniae
Lineage: Bacteria; Pseudomonadati; Pseudomonadota; Gammaproteobacteria; Enterobacterales; Enterobacteriaceae
Description: 23S ribosomal RNA
Rfam family: Bacterial large subunit ribosomal RNA
Source: RNAcentral